GGCGCACAGCAGUGGAGUAUGUGGUUUAAUUCGAAGCAACGCGAAGAACCUUACCAGGUCUUGACAUCCAACUAACGAAGUAGAGAUACAUNAGGUGCCCUUCGGGGAAAGUUGAGACAGGUGGUGCAUGGUUGUCGUCAGCUCGUGUCGUGAGAUGUUGGGUUAAGUCCCGCAACGAGCGCAACCCUUGCUAUUAGUUGCUACGCAAGAGCACUCUAAUAGGACUGCCGUUGACAAAACGGAGGAAGGUGGGGACGACGUCAAAUCAUCAUGCCCCUUAUGACCUGGGCUACACACGUACUACAAUGGCCAUCAACAGAGGGAAGCAAAACAGCGAUGUGGAGCAAACCCCUAAAAAUGGUCUCAGUUCAGAUUGCAGGCUGCAACCCGCCUGCAUGAAGUCGGAAUUGCUAGUAAUCGCGGAUCAGCAUGCCGCGGUGAAUACGUUCCCGGGCCUUGUACACACCGCCCGU
Molecule: ribosomal RNA, 473 nt
Filed under: uncultured Lachnospiraceae bacterium
Lineage: Bacteria; Bacillati; Bacillota; Clostridia; Lachnospirales; Lachnospiraceae
Description: bacterial SSU rRNA
Rfam family: Bacterial small subunit ribosomal RNA
Source: RNAcentral